UCGGAGUGCUUGCACUCUGUGAAACAAGAUACAGGCUAGCGGCGGACGGGUGAGUAACACGUGGGUAACCUGCCCAAGAGAUCGGGAUAACACCUGGAAACAGAUGCUAAUACCGGAUAACAACAGAUGAUGCCUAUCAACUGUUUAAAAGAUGGUUCUGCUAUCACUCUUGGAUGGACCUGCGGUGCAUUAGCUAGUUGGUAGGGUAACGGCCUACCAAGGCGAUGAUGCAUAGCCGAGUUGAGAGACUGAUCGGCCACAUUGGGACUGAGACACGGCCCAAACUCCUACGGGAGGCAGCAGUAGGGAAUCUUCCACAAUGGACGCAAGUCUGAUGGAGCAACGCCGCGUGAGUGAAGAAGGGUUUCGGCUCGUAAAGCUCUGUUGUUGGUGAAGAAGGACAGGGGUAGUAACUGACCUUUGUUUGACGGUAAUCAAUUAGAAAGUCACGGCUAACUACGUGCCAGCAGCCGCGGUAAUACGUAGGUGGCAAGCGUUGUCCGGAUUUAUUGGGCGUAAAGCGAGUGCAGGCGGCUCGAUAAGUCUGAUGUGAAAGCCUUCGGCUCAACCGGAGAAUUGCAUCAGAAACUGUCGAGCUUGAGUACAGAAGAGGAGAGUGGAACUCCAUGUGUAGCGGUGAGAUGCGUAGAUAUAUGGAAGAACACCGGUGGCGAAGGCGGCUCUCUGGUCUGUUACUGACGCUGAGGCUCGAAAGCAUGGGUAGCGA
RNAcentral lists this ribosomal RNA (727 nucleotides) under uncultured bacterium. RNAcentral's name for it is "bacterial SSU rRNA". It matches the Rfam family "Bacterial small subunit ribosomal RNA", at positions 71 to 771 of the family's 1533-position model. The record is from RNAcentral.